Sapajus apella (tufted capuchin) is the source of this 484-nucleotide RNA transcript. It is a transcript of the gene named 28S ribosomal protein S18c, mitochondrial pseudogene, with no coding region annotated. The transcript has a single exon. The record is from RefSeq and is a predicted model, not a curated record. NCBI's taxonomy places the organism in Eukaryota, Metazoa, Chordata, Mammalia, Primates, Cebidae.
GGCGUGGAAUCAUGGCCACUAUGGUUGCUGUUUGCGGUGGUCUAGGGAGGAAGAAGUUGACACACUUGGUAAUGGCUGCUGUCAGCCUUACACAUCCCGGGAUUCACAUGGUGCUGUGGCGAAGAGGUUGUUCGCAAUAUAAACAGGUAUCCAGCAAUGAGGACCUGCCCGUUCCAAUGGAAACCCUUAGAGAGAACCACUUAAGAAGUGUAUCUUGUGUGGAAAGCGUGUGGAUUAUAAGAAUGUACAGCUUUUGUCCCAGUUUGUUUCUCCAUUUACUGGGUGCAUUUAUGGAAGGCACAUUACAGGUCUUUGUGGGAAGAAACAGAAAGAAAUCACAAAAGCAAUUAAGAGAGCUCAAAUAUUGGGGUUUAUGCCAGUUACAUACAAGGAUCCUGCAUAUCUCAAGGACCCUAAAGUUUGUAAUAUCAGAUAUCGGGAAUAAAUUCUAUCAUGUUACCACCAAUAAACUUACCUUACAAUA